Daphnia pulicaria is the source of this 929-nucleotide long non-coding RNA. RefSeq lists it as uncharacterized. The transcript has 3 exons. Lineage: Eukaryota; Metazoa; Arthropoda; Branchiopoda; Diplostraca; Daphniidae. The record is from RefSeq and is a predicted model, not a curated record.
CAGUCAAAACAAUUUCCAAUUCAACAUGGUCGGUCCUCACAUGAAAACCCUAUUACAGGCUACUGAAACUGGGCAGCGUAUUGUCAGAGAUCUUUCGGUGCUCUGUUCAAGAAUUCCACGUAAGUAAUUACAUGUACCAUUGGUUGGUGUUAUGAAUUUUUAUUAUAGUCCAUUACUUACAGAUUUUGUUUUUAGGUCCUGGUCUACUGCCCAAAUACCUUCUGAUCUACUGAUAAAAUAGGAUAAUCUUCAUAAGAAGAGAAAAGCUAUUGCUGUUGGGAAAAAACCACCUGUUGCUCAAUUGACAUCAGUAGCAAGGAAACAAGCUGAGCUAAAACUUAAAAAAUGGAAAAUAUGACAGCUGAAGAAAUCAAAAGAUGGGAUGCACUACGAAGUGGGAUAUAGUUUGUUAUGACAGUAAUUAUAAUAAGUUUGUUUCAAACUUUUGUUUAUUUUCAGAAAAACAUCCAAACAAGCCCAGGGAAAGGGUUCUAAGUCUGUCGGAAACUCUUCCAUUAACAUCAGCCCUGCAAGACAGCUUACGCCACCAGGUCAAUCAGAGAAGGCUCACAUGAAAUGAAUUCUAGUUCUGCUGAAAAAUAUAAAUAGAACUGCUAUGCAAAGCUUUAGAGAGGCCUAACGGGCAAUGUGAUGCUUCCAGCGAAAAUACGUGCGCUACACAUGAAAAUUCUACUGAUGCACCUGUACCAGAAUGUGACCAGGUUCAGCCCAUCACGAUUCUAUUAGGUCGCGCUUCUCGCCCAAAGAAGCUACCUGCUAAGCUUGCUUCGUUGAAAGCCAAAGUUCAAUCGGGCAGUAAAUACGUUGCAAAGAAUAAAUGUGGAAAUUGCAUCGAUAAAACGCUACCCAAUAAUAAGAGAAAUGGAUUCAGUGUGGCAACUGCAAGCAAUGGUAUUUUAACGUGUAUA